GUACGGGUUGUGAGAGCAAGAGCCCGGAGAUGGAUUCUGAGACACGAAUCCAGGCCCUACGGGGUGCAGCAGGCGCGAAAACUUUACAAUGCUGGCAACAGCGAUAAGGGAACCUCGAGUGCCAGGUUACAAAUCUGGCUGUCGAGAUGCCUAAAAAGCAUUUCAUAGCAAGGGCCGGGCAAGACCGGUGCCAGCCGCCGCGGUAACACCGGCGGCUCGAGUGGUAACCGUUAUUAUUGGGUCUAAAGGGUCUGUAGCCGGCCGGAUAAGUCUCUUGAGAAAUCUGGCAGCUUAACUGUCAGGCUUUCGGGAGAUACUGUCUGGCUCGAGGCCGGGAGAGGUGAGAGGUACUUCAGGGGUAGGGGUGAAAUCUUGUAAUCCUUGAAGGACCACCAGUGGCGAAGGCGUCUCACCAGAACGGACCUGACGGCAAGGGACGAAAGCUAGGGGCACGAACCGGAUUAGAUACCCGGGUAGUCCUAGCCGUAAACGAUACUCGCUAGGUGUCGGCCACGGUGCGACCGUUGUCGGUGCCGUAGGGAAGCCGUGAAGCGAGC
Molecule: ribosomal RNA, 557 nt
Filed under: uncultured archaeon
Lineage: Archaea
Description: bacterial SSU rRNA
Rfam family: Archaeal small subunit ribosomal RNA
Source: RNAcentral